This 354-nucleotide RNase P RNA is filed under the name Desulfofustis sp. PB-SRB1. RNAcentral's name for it is "RNase P RNA component class A". It matches the Rfam family "Bacterial RNase P class A". Rfam says of the family: Ribonuclease P (RNase P) is a ubiquitous endoribonuclease, found in archaea, bacteria and eukarya as well as chloroplasts and mitochondria. Its best characterised activity is the generation of mature 5'-ends of tRNAs by cleaving the 5'-leader elements of precursor-tRNAs. Lineage: Bacteria; Pseudomonadati; Thermodesulfobacteriota; Desulfobulbia; Desulfobulbales; Desulfocapsaceae. RNAcentral also lists the same sequence under 1 other name. The record is from RNAcentral.
UGGAGCGGGUACGUGAUCGCUCCGGCCGCGAGCCGGGGAGGAAAGUCCGAACUCCACCGGGCAGGAUGGUUCGUAACGCGAACGCCGGGCAACCGGGGGAAAGUGCCACAGAAAACAAACCGCCCGCCGACGGCGGGUAAGGGUGAAACGGCGAGGUAAGAGCUCACCGCUUCCAUGGUGACAUGGAAGGCAGGGUAAACCCCAUCCGGAGCAAGACCAAAUAGGGAGAUGUUUGAGGGCGGCCCGUCCGAUAUCUCCGGGUAGGUCGCACGAGGUGCCGGGUGACCGGCAUCCCAGAUAAAUGAUCACACCCUGAAAAGGGAACAGAAUUCGGCUUAUAGCCCGCUCCUUUUU